This 273-nucleotide ribosomal RNA is filed under the name uncultured bacterium. RNAcentral describes it as "partial 16S ribosomal RNA". It matches the Rfam family "Bacterial small subunit ribosomal RNA", at positions 524 to 796 of the family's 1533-position model. The record is from RNAcentral.
UACGUAGGGGGCGAGCGUUGUCCGGAAUUAUUGGGCGUAAAGGGCGUGUAGGCGGCCGAUCAAGUCUGGUGUGAAAAUCCGGGGCUUAACCCCGGAAGUGCAUUGGAAACUGGUUGGCUUGAGUGCAGGAGAGGAAAGUGGAAUUCCCAGUGUAGCGGUGAAAUGCGUAGAUAUUGGGAGGAACACCAGUGGCGAAGGCGACUUUCUGGACUGCAACUGACGCUGAGGCGCGAAAGCUAGGGGAGCAAACAGGAUUAGAUACCCCCGUAGUCC